Alosa sapidissima (American shad) is the source of this 1264-nucleotide long non-coding RNA. RefSeq lists it as uncharacterized. The transcript is spliced from 3 exons. NCBI's taxonomy places the organism in Eukaryota, Metazoa, Chordata, Actinopteri, Clupeiformes, Clupeidae. The record is from RefSeq and is a predicted model, not a curated record.
GUGCGUAGUAGGUGAAGGACUAUGUUGUGAGGCAGAGUAAGUGAAGUAGGCCUAUACUGAUACUUUGGACUGUUCAUUAUUUGUGCUAUUUUUGUUUGUUUUUGGUAGGGAAAAGUAUUUUUUUGGUAGGGAAAAGUAUUUUAUUAGUGUUGCUAUUUUUGAAUAUGGUGAAAAUAAAUCAUUGGAAUUAACAGAAGCUACAUCCACCUCUCCUGCAAGUGCCUUUUUCUCCAUUUCCACCUAAACUCACAAUCCAACAUGUGGGUUGACCACCCGGUCGCUCACACAUGCAGAUAAAUAGUUAUUAAAUUACAAUCAAAACAACCAGACAUAAAAGAACUGAACAGAGAGAUUUUAUCUGUUUUUAAUAUCAAUCAGGUGUCAUCUGCAAAUACAACAGAUGCAAUACAAGUAGGCUACAAAUGCAAUACAAUGCACUUAUGCAAAAACACAAACAUUCACAAUGUAACAACAUGAUUCACAAGAUAAAUCAAAUUUACAAUCACAUUCAUAUUAAUUAUUUAUCUAUGGUUUCGUAAAGUGAUCACACUUUACUUUGAGCUACAGACUACAGGUGCUCCGCUAAUCAACAAACUACAUGACAUGUUAUGGUUAAGGUCAGGGUUAGGGGUAGGGUUUGGUUAUGGUGAUGUUAACUGCUACAACUGCUCGAUUGUUGCUAUUUUCAUAUUUAGGCUGCUGCUUUAUUUAUUUGUUUUUUUUUUGUUUGCUCACCAACACGUUACUUAGUCUUUUUAUUGACUUGGAUUCUUUUGGCAUAAUUAUGCUUGUGUGUUCUCUGCAUGGUUGUGUGUGUGUGUGUACCCCAUAGGUCCAGCUGUGAAGUACACACACAGGGUGCUGAUCACACACUCUCAUGAACCAUUCAGCAACAUCAACAUGCAACAUCAAAACACUGCUGUUGAUUUUACUCUUGUUCUUUUUCCCUCCUCCUCCUCCUCUUCAUGUGCUGUGCUUGUGAUGGACAUGUGUGGGGCUACUGGAUCCCUCGAAACAAACACAUGGCAAACACCAUGGCAAAGAGCUGCAGGGAAGCAUAGAGAUAUACACUUCCAUUUCAGAAAGUCUUAAUGGAACUUGGCAUUGGAAUGGUUUGGCAGACCAUUGUGGAUGUUACAAGGCCUGUGGUGUCUGCGCUGCAUGACUCAGUAAACAUGGACUGUGGCUCAGUCCCUUCACUCUGAUAAGAGACCAGGAAUCUGCGUGGAGUCUGCUUCAUCUCAGGAUGCACCCCCCAGCUGAG